GCUCUUGUAGUUCAACGGAUAGAACGGAAGUUUCCUAAACUUUUGAUGGCGGUUCGAUUCCGCCCAAGAGUA
RNAcentral lists this transfer RNA (72 nucleotides) under Prevotellaceae bacterium. Its description in RNAcentral is "tRNA-Arg". It matches the Rfam family "tRNA". Rfam says of the family: Transfer RNA (tRNA) molecules are approximately 80 nucleotides in length. Lineage: Bacteria; Pseudomonadati; Bacteroidota; Bacteroidia; Bacteroidales; Prevotellaceae. The record is from RNAcentral.